AGCAAAGCAAGCACAAGUCCUGUACAACCCAAGUCCAGAAUAGCUAGGCCAAAGCCUAAAAGUCUGCAGCCACAUCAAAUCUAAGGAGGGCCUGCAUGGAAGCACCAUGAGGCAUAAAAGGUAUCAGACGACUAUAAGCCUUCCCCUGGAAGUUAUCUGAGAGGCGAGGCCAUGAGGCGCUAGAAAGGUCCUGUCAGAUACAGCAAUUUCAUUGUAUGACCUGUGAAGUACCCACUAGAUGGUUUGCUGGGCAUAUUCUGUGACCUGUCCAAAUGUCAUUCCUCAGGGGGAGUCAGAACUGUGAGCUUCAGUUAUUGUGUGUAAAUCUGUUAUC
Long non-coding RNA from Hyla sarda, 334 nucleotides. RefSeq lists it as uncharacterized. The transcript has 3 exons. NCBI's taxonomy places the organism in Eukaryota, Metazoa, Chordata, Amphibia, Anura, Hylidae. The record is from RefSeq and is a predicted model, not a curated record.